RNAcentral lists this ribosomal RNA (126 nucleotides) under Periophthalmus magnuspinnatus. Lineage: Eukaryota; Metazoa; Chordata; Actinopteri; Gobiiformes; Gobiidae. The record is from RNAcentral.
UUAUGUGACCAAACCAUCUUAUCAAUGCCCAAUGCUCUUAUCUCAUCUGACCUCUGAAGCUAAGCAGGGUUGAACCUGGUUAGUACUUGGAUGGGAGACCACUGGGAAUACCGGGUGCCACAGUGG